GGUGAACGCUAGCUACAGGCUUAACACAUGCAAGUCGAGGGGCAGCAUGGAAGAAGCUUGCUUCUUCUGAUGGCGACCGGCGCACGGGUGCGUAACGCGUAUCAAACCUGCCUCAUACUCGGGGAUAGCCUUGCGAAAGUAAGAUUAAUACCCGAUGUUGUUAUGUUGCCGCAUGGUGAUAUAACCAAAGAUUUAUCGGUAUGAGAUGGUGAUGCGUCCGAUUAGGUAGUAGGCGGGGUAACGGCCCACCUAGCCUUCGAUCGGUAGGGGUUCUGAGAGGAAGGUCCCCCACACUGGAACUGAGACACGGUCCAGACUCCUACGGGAGGCAGCAGUGAGGAAUAUUGGUCAAUGGACGCAAGUCUGAACCAGCCAAGUAGCGUGCAGGAUGACGGCCCUCUGGGUUGUAAACUGCUUUUAGUUGGGAAUAAAAAAGAGGACGUGUCCUCUAUUGUAUGUACCUUCAGAAAAAGGACCGGCUAAUUCCGUGCCAGCAGCCGCGGUAAUACGGAAGGUCCAGGCGUUAUCCGGAUUUAUUGGGUUUAAAGGGAGCGUAGGCGGAUUAUUAAGUCAGUGGUGAAAGACGGUGGCUCAACCAUCGUUAGCCAUUGAAACUGGUAGUCUUGAGUGCAGACAGGGAUGCUGGAACUCGUGGUGUAGCGGUGAAAUGCUUAGAUAUCACGAUGAACUCCGAUCGCGAAGGCAGGUGUCCGGGCUGCAACUGACGCUGAGGCUCGAAAGUGUGGGUAUCAAACAGG
RNAcentral lists this ribosomal RNA (758 nucleotides) under uncultured Prevotella sp. Its description in RNAcentral is "bacterial SSU rRNA". It matches the Rfam family "Bacterial small subunit ribosomal RNA", at positions 28 to 776 of the family's 1533-position model. Lineage: Bacteria; Pseudomonadati; Bacteroidota; Bacteroidia; Bacteroidales; Prevotellaceae. The record is from RNAcentral.